Molecule: long non-coding RNA, 585 nt
Organism: Oncorhynchus tshawytscha (Chinook salmon)
Lineage: Eukaryota; Metazoa; Chordata; Actinopteri; Salmoniformes; Salmonidae
Source: Ensembl
UUGUUUCCGGAUGGUGAUAGAACUGGACUAGCUCUCCUGGUGGUCACACAUCAAGGCACGGCGCUCUGAGAAUGGGAGGCGUUCGGCCAUUAUGCCAGUGAUGAAACGGGGAUGGUCAAAGAGUCCAAUGGGCUUACUGUGGAUCAUGAGGCCUGUGUAUGGCAGUGAAACAUGACCCAGGUUGAGGAAGAAGGAUAUCCGUACUCCACUGCUGGUUCAGAUCUCUGUGUACAGUGGCCACAUCAGCCAGGACUUCAGUGAGCAGGCUGCUGUAGCCUGUACAGUCGUAGAGCGCUGGUGUAUGGCCCCGUAGUCCAAAAGAUAGACAUCUACAAGAACGGAAUCCAGGGAACCCUUUUUAUACCAGCAGGUCCUGGACCAUUCCCUGCUGAGCUGGAGCUAUCUGGGGGAGGAGGGGGUCUGUUUGAGCAUCGCUCCUACCUGUUAGCAUCCUAAAGCUACGUCUCCGUAGUGCUGCAGUACCCCACGGACGUCUAUACAACGGUUUCCAUAGGAUCCAUAGUACUUUGAGCCCAGAUGUAUGGUGUGUAUACGUGGCAGCCAUGUUUUCCCUUUCAGAUUGUC